UGACGUUCAGUAAAUCAGGUGAUCAUUUUUAAUUCCUUGUAUCCUUGUUUCCAUGUUGUAUUCCUAGUAUAUAAAGUGCACUUCCCUCUGCAGCUUCAGAGAGCCUGCAGACACUCUGCUUAGAGGUUUGGGGUUUUGUGCAUUUGAAAAAUAACAGCAUAUCUAGAUUUUGACGAUUCAUUAUUUGACUUAUAUUUCAGCAGCUUAUCACUGUAAACAAUGAGGAUCAUUUUGCUUCUUUGUGCCGCCUUUGCUCUGAGCAUCGCAACAGAGCCAGUAGAGGAAGUGGCAGCGACUCAGGAGAUACAUGCAGAUGAAAACAUGUCGGUUCAGAUAUUAGAUGAGACAGAACAGAAGGAUCAGCUGCCUGUGGACGAAGUUGUAGAAGUGACUUUGGUCAUGUCAAGCAGAGCAGCUGCCGAUCCAGCUGGUCCAAAUAUGGAUCCAGAUGUUUCAUGUUAGUCCACAGAGAAUUGUCCUGGUUAGACGCAGAGAAACAUUGUAUACGUAAUGGUGCCAAUCUCGCAUCCAUCCACAACCUGGGAGAGUACCAAUUCAUCCAGGAGAUUUUGAGAGGGGCCACGAAUCGUUUUCCUCGAGCCUGGAUCGGUGGCAGUGAUGCUAUUAAGGACUUUGUUUGGCUUUGGAGUGAUGGUUCAGGGUUUUAUUUCCAGGAUUGGAGCCUAGGCGAGCCUAACAAUUUAGGAUGCACUGAGAAAUGUCUUGUGAUGAACCAACCAGAUAACCUCCUCUGGGGUGAUGCGAACUGUGAAGAAAAGCUUCUCUUCAUUUGUGGAACAAAACCUGUUUAAAUUAAAGAAGUACUCAGAUCUCAUACUUCUGUAAAGUAGCAAUGCUACAGUGUAGAGUAUUCAGAAUACUACAAGUAAAGGUACAAAAGUAUAAGCAUCAAAAUGUACUUUAAAUACCAAAAGUAUUAAUUAUGCAUAUACUGUAUAUCAUAUUGUUGAAUUAUAAAAAAUAAUGCAUUAAUGUGUACAUUACUCUAAUAUUGCAGCUUUUAAAAG
Molecule: long non-coding RNA, 1028 nt
Organism: Micropterus dolomieu (smallmouth bass)
Lineage: Eukaryota; Metazoa; Chordata; Actinopteri; Centrarchiformes; Centrarchidae
Exons: 6
Source: RefSeq, a predicted model, not a curated record